AUUGAACGCUGGCGGCAUGCCUUACACAUGCAAGUCGAACGGCAGCACGGGAGCAAUCCUGGUGGCGAGUGGCGAACGGGUGAGUAAAGUAUCGGAACGUGCCCAGUCGUGGGGGAUAACGUAGCGAAAGUUACGCUAAUACCGCAUACGAUCUAUGGAUGAAAGCGGGGGAUCGCAAGACCUCGCGCGAUUGGAGCGGCCGAUAUCAGAUUAGGUAGUUGGUGGGGUAAAGGCUCACCAAGCCGACGAUCUGUAGCUGGUCUGAGAGGACGACCAGCCACACUGGGACUGAGACACGGCGCAGACUCCUACGGGAGGCAGCAGUGGGGAAUUUUGGACAAUGGGCGAAAGCCUGAUCCAGCCAUGCCGCGUGCAGGAUGAAGGCCUUCGGGUUGUAAAUUGCUUUUGUACGGAACGAAAAGGUUUGGCCUAAUAAGCUGAGCUCAUGACGGUACCGUAAGAAUAAGCACCGGCUAACUACGUGCCAGCAGCCGCGGUAA
RNAcentral lists this ribosomal RNA (500 nucleotides) under uncultured bacterium. RNAcentral describes it as "partial 16S ribosomal RNA". It matches the Rfam family "Bacterial small subunit ribosomal RNA", at positions 30 to 523 of the family's 1533-position model. The record is from RNAcentral.